ACACAGGAGAUAAAUGACCUGUUAGAAGAGGAACGGUUUGCUUGCUCAGUAAGCGACUGUUUUAAUUUCUGGACUGCCACUUGAUUCUAUUUUACAAAGGAAGAAGAUGAAGAGACCUCAGUGCAAAAUGCUGUUAAUUAUUUGGACCUUCACUGCAUGCAUCACUCUACUGUCUGUUACAACUUGUGUUGUUGGAGAAAGGGCCUUCCUUACAGCAAUGGCUGGUACUGAGGUGCUGCUCCCAUGCUGGCCAACCGCAAACAACACAAAUAUAACGCAGUUUUCCUGGACAAAGGAUGGUCAGGAGAAGCCUGUUGUUGUGUAUAAUCUGAAGUAUGGGCCAUCAGUACCAAGUGAAAACUAUUCUGGACGGAUAGAGAUGAGUAACCAACCUCUCCUGGAUGGAUCAAUCCGAAUAAAAGCUUUGAAAAUACAGGACGAGGGAAAUUACACGUGUGAGAUAACACUAUUCCCUCAGGGAGCAGAGAAAAAAGGAAUCCAUUUAACAAUUCUAGUGAUUCCCACCAACGCAGCAUCAUCGAUACCUGCCGAGGCUGGUCUCUCUGACGCUCCUGUGGCUCAGUGUACCUCGGCCUUCGGGAACCCAGCAGCUGAGAUCACUUGGAAAUCCAGUCUCCCGGGGAAGCACACCAUGAUCCAUGUUGUAAACGACAACAAUAUGGUGACUGUCCACAGCAACUAUACGAUGACCCCUCAUCGUUCAAACAAUGGGCAGACAGUGACAUGUCAGGUCACUCACUCAGCAACAAGCAACAAGACUGAAUAUCCUGUACAGCUGUCCAUCCUCUAUCGACCAGUCGUGACGAUAACGGGGUAUGAUGGGACCUGGAGUGUAAACACACACAAUGUUACUGUUACAUGUAGCACAGAUGCCAAUCCUGAACCAACUAAUUACACCUGGAGAGGGUUACCAGAAGGAGUGGAGAUCAAAAAUGCACAGGUGUUCAUCGGGGAGGAGAGCGCUCUGGAAAAUGGCAACUGGACAUGUGAAGCUGCCAACACAGUUGGGAUAGGAGUGGGCCGUGUGGAAGUUGUGCUAGGAUCGAGCAAUUCCUCAGGUCAUACCUAUAUUGUGCUCACCAUUUCAUGUGUGGUCGUGGCACUGCUGAUCGUAGCUCCAGUGGCAUUGCUCAUUGUCCUACAAAUCAAGAAACAACGCAAUUCAGCAGAGGAAGUCUAUAUCAACAUUCCCAAUCAAAGGAAGAAAAUUGAACAGGAAUCCCCAGAGAUCAACGCUACCUACACUAGUGUGAACUUAGGGGAACAGUCGGUGUACAGUGACCUAAAAAGGUGAGAUGCUGGGAAUGUUCUGCCUCAGUAAACACCAGCUUUUGAACAGCGUAUCACUCUCCAUUUGACCCUGUGCUUUCGUUUCAAUUUCAAAAGAAUCCUUAUGAAACUUUUGUCCUCAAAGACACAGACAGGAUUCAAAUCUUUGGCUAUUUAAUGCUGCAGUAUAUUUCUGUGCUUUAAAUCAAGUUUAGGGACACCUCCCUACUGGAGACCUAGGGAACACAGGGAAGGGAAAUCUGCCGUCCUUACCUGAUCUGGGUCUACAUGUGACUCGAGACCCACAGCAAUGUGGUUGGCUCUUAGCUGAUCCCUGGGAAAUCAGGGAUGAGCAAUAAAUGCUGGCCUGGCUCGUGAUGUCCAUAUCCUGUGGAUGAAAAUAAAACUUCACAUGAUGCCUGGCCGUCGAUUUUGAGAAAUGAAAUGGGCCUCAGGAAACUUGCUUUAAAAUGUUCAGAAAGGUUUCUGUGCUGAGAGGCCUCAGGAGAUCCUUAUCAUGAAAGACUUUGAUGCUCGUCUAAUUGUUUGUCACAGAUAUUGUGAAGAUGCUGUGAAUUUAUGAAGUUAUUUUGUCCUGUAUUUUCUGUUUUGAAGAGAGAUUGUAAGGCAGGGGCACAGGACAGUCUACCAGAACCGCACCAGUAAACACCUUCAGAGGCCUUGGGUAUUUUUGUAACAGUCUGAAGGGGAAUGGCCAGCUCUCACAGCUCCUGGGCGUUUAGGGCUAGCUUUAAGCAGAAGCAUUUGGGGUCUCAACACCAUUGAAGGUUCAGCGAGACAUUGACACAAUGCAGAGCUGGGCUGAGAAAUGGCAGAUGGAGUUCAACCUGGAUAAAUGCGAGGUGAUGCAUUUUGGAAGGUCGAACUUAAAUGCUGAAUAUAGGAUUAAAGGCCGGAUUCUCGGCAGCGUGGAGGAACAGCAGGAUCUUGGUGUUCAAGUGCAUUGCUCCCUCAAAGUUGCCACCCGGGUGGAUAAGGUUGGUAAGAAAGCAUAUGGUGUUUUGGCUUUCAUUAACAGGGGGAUUGAGUUUAAGAGCCGCGAGGUUAUGCUGCAGCUCUACAAAACCCUGGUGGGACCACACUUGGAAUAUUGUACCCUAUUAUAGGAAAGAUGUGGAGGCUUUGGAAAGGGUGCAAAGGAGGUUUGCCAGGAUGCUGCCUGGACUGGAGGUCUUGUCUUACGAGGAGAGGUUGACUGAGCUCGGACUUUUCUCUUUGGAGAGAAGGAGGAAGAGAGGUGACCUGAUCGAGGUGUACAAGGUAAUGAGGCAUGGAUAGAGUUGAUAGCCAGAGACUUUUCCCCAGGGCAGGAUUGACUGCCACGAGGGGUCAUAGUUUUAAGGUGUUAGGAGGAAGUUAUAGAGGAGGCGUCAGAGGGAGAUUCGUCACCCAGAGAGUUGUGAGCGCAUGGAAUAGUUUACCAGUGGUAGUCGUCGAAGCAGAGCCAUUUGUGACAUUUAAGCGACUGCUAGACAUGCACAUGGACAGCAGCGAAUUGAGGGGAAUGUAGGUUAGGUUAUUUUAUUUUUGGAUUAGGAUUAUUCCACGGCACAAAAUCGUGGACCGAAGAGCCUGUACUGUGCUGUAUUUUUCUAUUUUCUAUGUUCUAUGUUUCUACUCUCUCUGAAUUUUCUCUUGAAGUAUUUUUCCUCCUGGAUUGGAGAACUACAUGUGAGAAUCUGUGUCUGAAUUUUCCCUUUGUUUGCCAAGGGUUAUAGAUGUUACUAUUUUGGAAGAAUGAAUUAGUGAUAGCUACUGUAUCUAUUAUUCAGUUAAGUUUUCAAAAGGAGUUAAGUUAUUCUAAGUUCUUCUUUCUUUUGUUGUAUUUUUAAUUGAUGUCAUAGUUAUAAGGUAACAGCACGGGAACAGACCCUUCAGUCUAACCAAUCCAUGCUGAAUGUAAUCCCAAACUAAACCAGUCUCACCUGCCCUGCUCCGGGCCCAUAUCCCUCCAAACCUUUCUUAUUCAUGUCCCUAUCCAAAUGUCUUUUAAACGCUGUAACUGUACCCACACCCACCACUUCCUCAGGAAGCUCAUACCCUCUGUGUAACCACCCUCAGUAUGAAAACAUUGUCUCCUAUACCUUUUCUAAAUCUCUCUCUUCUCACCUUAAUAAUGUGACCCCGAGUCGUGAAAUCUCCCACCCUCAAGAAAAGUCAGCUACCACUAACCAUAUCUACACCCCUCAUUGUUUUAUAAUCUUCUAUCAGAUCGCCUCUCUACCUCCUACAGCUCCAGCGAAAGGAGACCCAGCCUAUCCAGCAUUUCUUGUGUUUGAAUAAAUUGAGAUUUGCUUUAAUGUUGAGUAGUUCGACAGGUCGCUUAGCAUCUGGAACACACACUUCACUAUUGUCCUUAAAAACGAGAAAAAGCUUGGAUCUAAGCUACCUUCUUAAAAUAUUUUGAGGGGUUCUGGACUGGUCCAUAACAGUGUAAAAGUAUUUUUAAUGCUUCAGUAAUGGUGUCAUGUUCUACUAAAUAACUUGCUUGUUCGUAUGUAAUUUGACAUAUUUUUGUUAACCGAAGAUAUUUUGAAAUGGAUAGACCUAUAGGGAUUGCUAAGUGAAUAGUGCACACCCAUACCCCCAAAAUAAGAAGUACAAUAAUGAUCAGAAGAUCUACAUUAAAAAUGAAGAACUGCAGAUGUUGGAAAUCGGGAACUAAAACAGAAACCACGAGGAACAUUCAGCAGAGACAAGUAACAUCUGUGCAGAGAAAUCAGAAUUCGGGUCUGGUGAUGCUUCAGGAUGGAUUCGAGCUUGGAAAAGCUAUACGCUGAAAGAUUAGAAUGGAAUCUGUCAGAGAGGAGGAGAACUUCUUUUCUUAAUUAAAUUAUAUCUUCUUAAGUCUCACGUCUGUCGUCUGCAAGGUGUUCGAAAGGAUUCUGAGGGAUGGGAUUUAUGGCCAUCUGGAAGAGCAUGGCUUGAUCAAAUACAGUCAACACGGCUUUGUGAGGGGUAGGUCAUGCCUCACAAACCUUAUCGAGUUCUUUGAGGAUGUGACUAGAAAAGUUGAUGAGGGUCGAGCUGUGAAUGUGGUGUAUAUGGACUUCAGUAAGGCAUUUGAUAAGGUUCCCCAUGGUAGGCUCAUUCAGAAGGUCAGGAGGAAUGGGAUACAGGGGAACUUAGCUGCCUGGAUACAGAAUUGGCUGGCCAGCAGAAGACAGCGAGUGGUAGUAGAAGGAAAAUAUUCUGCCUGGAAGUCAGUGGUGAGUGGGGUUCCACAGGGCUCUGUCCUUGGGCCUCUUCUGUUUGUAAUUUUUAUUAAUGACUUGGAUGAGGGGAUUGAAGGAUGGGUCAGCAAGUUUGCAGAUGACACAAAGGUUGGAGAUGUCGUUGACAGUGUAGAGGGCUGUUGUAGGCUGCAGCGGGACAUUGACAGGAUGCAGAGAUGGGCUGAGAGGUGGCAGAUGGAGUUCAACCUGGAUAAAUGCGAACUGAUGCAUUUUGGAAGGUCAAAUUUGAAAGCUGAGUACAGGAUUAAGGAUAGGAUUCUUGGCAGUGUGGAGGAACAGAGGGAUCUUGGUGUGUAGAUACAUAGAUCCCUUAAAAUGGCCACCCAAGUGGACAGGGUUGUUAAGAAAGCAUAUGGUGUUUUGGCUUUCGUUAACAGGGGGAUUGAGUUUAAGAGGCGUGAGAUCUUGUUGCAGCUCUAUAAAAUUUUGGUUAGACCGCAUUUGGAAUACUGCGUCCAGUUCUGGUCGCCGUAUUAUAGGAAAGAUGUGGAUGCUUUGAAGAGGGUUCAGAGGAGGUUUACCAGGAUGCUGCCUGGACUGGAGGGCUUAUCUUAUGAAGAGAGGUUGACUGAGCUCGGUCUCUAUUCAUUGGAGAAAAGGAGGAGGAGAGGGGACCUCAUUGAGGUAUACAAGAUAAUGAGAGGCAUAGAUAGAGUUGAUAGCCAGAGACUAUUUCCCAGGGCAGAAAUGGCUAGCACGAGGGGUCGUAGUUUUAAGCUGGUUGGAGGAAAGUAUAGAGGGGAUGUCAGAGGCGGGUUCUUUACACAGAGAGUUGUGAGAGCAUGGAAUGCGUUGCCAGCAGCAGUUGCGGAAGCAAGGUCAUUGGGGUCAUUUAAGAGACUGCUGGACAUGCAUAUGGUCACAGAAAUUUGAGGGUGCAUACAUGAGGAUCAAUGGUCGGCAGAACAUUGUUGGCUGAAGGGCCUGUCCAGUGCUGUACUGUUCUAUGUUCUAUGUUCUAUGUUUAAUUAAACCUACAUUUUCUUAGUUAAA
Stegostoma tigrinum is the source of this 5540-nucleotide RNA transcript. It is a transcript of the gene named nectin-1-like, with no coding region annotated. The record is from RefSeq and is a predicted model, not a curated record. The transcript has 11 exons. Lineage: Eukaryota; Metazoa; Chordata; Chondrichthyes; Orectolobiformes; Stegostomatidae.